AGAAUGCACGGGUGAGAAGGUGCCGCGGUGGUUCGCCCCGCCGCGGUUAAACGGGAAACAGGUGCAAAGCCUGUGCUGCCCCCGCAACGGUCGGCGGAUCGGGAUGCCUCGGCAGGGUCGAACCCUGCAGCCACUGUGCCCCACGGCAUGGGAAGGCGAGUCAUCCGGCCGCGUGGUGAUCCCCAUCGGACCCACGCGCCACUCCGCGAGCCCGGAUACCGGCCUUCGAACGAACUCGAUG
RNAcentral lists this non-coding RNA (241 nucleotides) under Rhizobacter sp. Root1221. The record is from RNAcentral. RNAcentral also lists the same sequence under 1 other name. Lineage: Bacteria; Pseudomonadati; Pseudomonadota; Betaproteobacteria; Burkholderiales; Sphaerotilaceae.